ACGGUUCCGCACUCGUGUGCUGCCUCCUCAGCGUACCCUUUCGUUGUCUAUCUUCUUGUUUGCGCGCACGCUCUCCGUCACAUGUCCUGAUCGCUAGCGUCGAUACCACACGAAGAGCGAGAGGGCAAGAAGAACAGCAGCGAAGGUUGUCGGUGGUGUCGUUAUCCGCCUACCCCCACCCCCGGGCAGCCCUGGCGUUUGUGUAGAACAUCGACGCAUCCCCCCCUCCCCCACGGCCUUCCUCAUACCUCCCUCUCACUGACGUUUCCGCCCAAGUGCCACCUACGCGAGCACGUGCCGACAAGGGCAUGCAGCGGUGUGCCGUCAUUCCUUGAGGCCUGUCACUAACUCUCCGAGGCAAUCAUUCUGAAGCGACAGCAGCUGCUGCAAGCAAGGAAAGGGGAUAAAGACGGAGCUCUCAUGUCGCCGGCUUGUGUGCGUGCAAUGUGAGUGGGCUGGUGCGAGUGCCGGCACGCCCGUUCGCUUGACGGUGUUGAACAGAUCCCUUUACGCCAUCAAGGCCCACAGCGGGCGUGUGUGUACUUGCGCGUCUGUCGGCUCGUCUGCCCUGUACGACUCGGUGAGUUUUCAUGUGUGCACUACCUGCGCGGCACCGUUCGCUAGUGUCGUGUUGCAUACACAGACACACAUAUAUGUAUCUUGUAAGGUGUUGCUCCGACAUUCUUUUUCUUUGCGUUUUUAUUUUCUGGCGUCUUUCUCCAUCCCUCUCUGUGCGCCUGUGUGUACAUGUGUGUGUGUGUGUGUGUGUUCGCUUAAGAACUCGCACAUGCUGUUGUCUUUGUCUCUCUUCCUCCUCCU
RNAcentral lists this unclassified non-coding RNA (819 nucleotides) under Leishmania donovani. RNAcentral's name for it is "gene:unknown". Lineage: Eukaryota; Euglenozoa; Kinetoplastea; Trypanosomatida; Trypanosomatidae. The record is from RNAcentral.